GUGUGGCUCAGUUGUACAGUGCUUGCCUGACAUGCAUCAGGCCCUGGGUUCAAUUCCCAGUAC
RNAcentral lists this transfer RNA (63 nucleotides) under Heterocephalus glaber (naked mole-rat). It matches the Rfam family "tRNA", at positions 5 to 66 of the family's 71-position model. From Rfam's summary of the family: Transfer RNA (tRNA) molecules are approximately 80 nucleotides in length. Their secondary structure includes four short double-helical elements and three loops (D, anti-codon, and T loops). The record is from Rfam by way of RNAcentral. Lineage: Eukaryota; Metazoa; Chordata; Mammalia; Rodentia; Bathyergidae.